CCUACGGGGGGCAGCAGUGAGGAAUAUUGGUCAAUGGCCGUAAGGCUGAACCAGCCAAGUCGCGUGAAGGAAGAAGGAUCUAUGGUUUGUAAACUUCUUUUAUAGGGGAAUAAAGGUAUCCACGUGUGGAUAUUUGCAUGUACCCUAUGAAUAAGCAUCGGCUAACUCCGUGCCAGCAGCCGCGGUAAUACGGAGGAUGCGAGCGUUAUCCGGAUUUAUUGGGUUUAAAGGGUGCGCAGGCGGAGGCACAAGUCAGCGGUAAAAUCGCGGGGCUCAACCCCGCUCCGCCGUUGAAACUGUGUCCCUUGAGUGCGCGAAGGGUAGGCGGAAUGCGUGGUGUAGCGGUGAAAUGCAUAGAUAUCACGCAGAACUCCGAUCGCGAAGGCAGCCUACCGGCGCGCAACUGACGCUCAUGCACGAAAGCGUGGGUAUCGAACAGGAUUAGAUACCCUAGUAGUC
Molecule: ribosomal RNA, 459 nt
Filed under: uncultured bacterium
Lineage: Bacteria
Description: partial 16S ribosomal RNA
Rfam family: Bacterial small subunit ribosomal RNA
Source: RNAcentral